UUAGACAAUAUAUAACAAUAAUAACUAUGCAUUAAUCCCAUCAGGUAAAAUCAACUACAUGCCUAUAUAAAUGUUCUAUCGUAAAUCAUUAAAGAGUAUGCAACACUAAAACUAACCUUCGCUAAAUUUUAGCUUCAUUUUCCGGUAAAUAUACAUGGUUGCUACCACAGCAUGUAUGAGAAUCUAAAUUCACAUGGAAUCUGUGCAGAAAAGCAAAAGAAUCAAUUAAAAAAGGUAUUAGUACAGAAUAUAGCACAAGUUGAAAACUAUCUAGCAACCAUAGUUUGGAUUAUUUCAAAGCAGUAAUGGAAAAACAAUAUGAGAAGGAGAAGAAAGGUAAGAGAAAAUUAAAAUAAGUACAAAUAAGACAUAGACAAACAACUAUUUAUAUCCCUAGUUAAACAUUGGCAGAGAGGGGACCUUCAUUGUCACAGAAAUAAUCUUUGUGGAGGGUCAAUUGUACAGACCCAAGAAUUUACAGCAAAAUAUCCACUCCCAUAAUAAAAUAAAGGCAAAUGGUAAAAAAGGUGAUGGCAGCAUACCUCAGAUAUUCUAAGAAAUGACCCAAUUAUUGCUCCCAAGAUCAAAGAAGAAUCUUUUCUGGUCAAACCUGAUCACUUUUGAGACCUCAAAGAAGAAUCUUUUCUGGUCAAACCUGAUCACUUUUGAGAACCUCAACUCAAGUUCCCAAGUGCCAGAAAUAAAGCCAGCACCAACAUCAUCCAAAAGUCCAACAAGACCUUCUGGGGAUCAGAAUUUCGCUGUUGCAUAAUUCAAACAAUAUUUUGUUGUUGCAUAAUUCAAACAACCAAAUCAGAUAAAACAGAUCAAAACAUGGAAAACACUAGCGGCAUAGCAGGGGGGAAAUGCCUGCAUGCAGAAGAAGGAAACAUGAUCGGGUAGAAUGAAAAGCCUUGAGGACUCGUAAACUCCUUGUUUCUAUUUCUAUGUUUUAUUAAUGUUACUUGCAUAUUCAAGAUUGAAGACAUGUACAUGGUCUCAAUUUGAACCUAAAUGUCUUUCAUCUUUGAUCAAAAGAAAAGUUUGCUUGUGAGCUGUGAGGAACAGAGUUCAAAUAAUGAAGUUAUCACAUUGAGAAGAGCUUUAUCCUAACUAUCACCACAACCCAAUUAUCAUUGAUAUGGUUAUGCUUGAGAGAUAGUCUGCUAAAAAUUAUAAAAAAACAUUGCUGAUAUAUUUUUAGCAAGCUUUUGCAUGUCUGACACCAAAUUGAUGGUUCAAAAUGCAACAAGACUGCUCAAUCCCCUAUGUGCAGAUAAGUCAGGAAUCAUUGCUGCUUUUUGAUCAAGAAGCAUCAGUUCUACAUAUAAAGGUAAAUGUCAUGAUCUUAUACGAACUGUGCAGUUGAGACAUAAAACACUUUCAGGUUCGUUCUUUUUUCAGGGUGGCCAUGAACUAGAGCAAAAGUUUUAGUAGAUGAGAAAAGUCGGCAGCAGAAAACCUUGGAGAUUAAAAUAAUUACCACACGAGUUAGUAGUCGUGGAAGUGUCCAAUCCAAUGAAGAGUGUGCUACUAUCACUCUUGCUUUGCAAAUCAAUAUGCCUUUCUGAACUAAGUGAUGUUGAAACAAUGUCAGGUAUUGAAAGUGGAAGUAAGUCAAACUAAUGUUAAUUGGUUUAAUAAGAAGGAAAAUAUUCAUGGAGAAUCAGAGGCAACCCAAGAGGCAGCUGCAAGUGGAGAGGUAGUUUUCACGAUUUGAAUUCAUGACCUCCAGUUCACAAGGAAUCAACCUUACCAUUGCAUUGAGACACACCCUCUCCUUGGAGAAUUAAA
Molecule: long non-coding RNA, 1794 nt
Filed under: Lupinus angustifolius (narrow-leaved blue lupine)
Lineage: Eukaryota; Viridiplantae; Streptophyta; Magnoliopsida; Fabales; Fabaceae
Description: long non-coding RNA (LANG_LNC003742)
Source: RNAcentral